RNAcentral lists this non-coding RNA (26 nucleotides) under Rattus norvegicus (Norway rat). The record is from RNAcentral. Lineage: Eukaryota; Metazoa; Chordata; Mammalia; Rodentia; Muridae.
UGGGUACCCCAAGAUAAGAGGAGACU